ACUAACUAGGAUUCCCCCAGUAGCGGCGAGCGAACAGGGAAAAGCCCAGCACUGAAUCCCGUGGUCGGAAACGAUCACUGGGAAAUGUAGUGUUAGGGAGGAUUCACAUUCCAGCGAUUGUGUGACUUGUCCAAGUCUUUCUUGAACGGGGCCACUUAUCCAUAGAGGGUGCCAGGCCCGUAGGACAGUCGCCGAUUGCUGGAGAAUCUCUCCUCAGAGUCGGGUUGCUUGAGAGUGCAGCCCUAAGCAGGUGGUAAACUCCAUCUAAGGCUAAAUAUGACCACGAGACCGAUAGCGAACAAGUACCGUGAGGGAAAGUUGAAAAGAACUUUGAAGAGAGAGUUCAAGAGUACGUGAAACCGUUCAGGGGUAAACCUGAGAAACCCGAAAGUUCGAAAUGGGGAGAUUCAGCGCGACUCGUGGUUCCGUUGGCUGGUGGUUYUGUAUGACGUAAUUUCGCUUGCGGUAUUGCGCAUCAUCACCAUGYCAUUUACGGGCUCGAUCGUGUGCACUUCUCCACCAAGUAGAACGUCGCGACUCGUUGGGUGUCGGUCGAAGGCCCGGUGUGGAGCCCGGUGUUGGCGUUUUCGGACGCGCUUCAUCGGACCACUGGUUGCCCGGCCGGCUCGCCCGACGGUAGUUCGAUGGCGUGGGGCCGCGACAUGUUCGCGUCCGGCCCGUCGCAAGUAUGAACGGUAUACAACCGGGUAAUUCGGACCUAGUGCCGGAUCCUGGCCCGUUCUGCUGUUGGCGGCGGUGUCCUCGGACAGACCCCGUAGUGUGUUUGUAUAUACUGCAUACGCGCCUGUCUGCGACGCUAUUGCUUUGGGUACUUUCAGGGCCCGUCUUGAAACACGGACCAAGGAGUCUAGCAUGUACGCGAGUCAUUGGGACUUGCAAAGCCUAAAGGCGUAAUGAAAGUAAUGAUGCAUUGCCGUCAUCAUCACUCUCGGGUGGUGGUGACACAACGUAUCAAGGGAGGAUGCGUCAYGUUACGGCGUGAUGCCGCACUCCCGGGGCGUCUCGUUCUCAUUGCGAGAUGAGGCGCACCUAGAGCGUACACGCUGGGACCCGAAAGAUGGUGAACUAUGCCUGGUCAGGACGAAGUCAGGGGAAACCCUGAUGGAGGUCCGUAGCGAUUCUGACGUGCAAAUCGAUCGUCGGAACUGGGGAUAGGGGCGAAAGACUAAUCGAACCAUCUAGUAGCUGGUUCCCUCCGAAGUUUCCCUCAGGAUAGCUGGCACUCAUUAUGUUGCGAGUUUCAUCCGGUAAAGCGAAUGAUUAGAGGCAUUGGGGUCGAAACGGCCUCAACCUAUUCUCAAACUUUAAAUGGGUGAGAUCUCCGGCUUGCUUAAAUGUGCGCAAGUGAAGCCGCGAGAAGAAUCAGAG
Molecule: ribosomal RNA, 1389 nt
Filed under: Nargomorphus amplicollis
Lineage: Eukaryota; Metazoa; Arthropoda; Insecta; Coleoptera; Leiodidae
Description: eukaryotic LSU rRNA
Rfam family: Eukaryotic large subunit ribosomal RNA
Source: RNAcentral